Venturia canescens is the source of this 256-nucleotide long non-coding RNA. RefSeq lists it as uncharacterized. The record is from RefSeq and is a predicted model, not a curated record. Lineage: Eukaryota; Metazoa; Arthropoda; Insecta; Hymenoptera; Ichneumonidae. The transcript is spliced from 2 exons.
UUGUCUCGCCUGUGCGAUGUGCCGUUGGCAAAGUAUCGCGAUUACUCAUUCGUCAAGUCGUCACCAAGUCUAAUUGGUAGUUGAAAAGUCACAUCGACAGUGCUUCAAAGCAAUAAUAAUACGCGAAAACGAUUGUCCGCCAAUCCGGGUGUAACACGUGCCUACGGAAUUGAUUAUCAUAACAGGGAUAACAAGUCUCGAAGAUGACGCUGACGAUGGUCUAAUAAAUACCAAAGAGCUUUUUAUACGCCUAUAA